Molecule: long non-coding RNA, 1362 nt
Filed under: Ursus americanus (American black bear)
Lineage: Eukaryota; Metazoa; Chordata; Mammalia; Carnivora; Ursidae
Description: lncRNA (ENSUAMG00000023546.1)
Source: RNAcentral
CUUUUUUUCCCUCCCACUAAGAAGUUGGGACAGGCAAAGGGUCAGCGCACCUCUGGUCUGGCUUCCUCCCAGCACGUUGAGGACUGCAACGUCGUCUGCAUACCAGCAGUCCACUUGGUGUCUCAGGUUUGUACGUUUGUGGCACGACUCCCAGUUUCAUCUCUGCCCUUUCUGGUCAAGGCUCACCCCCGGGGGGCGGUGCAAAAAGUGAGUCCCUGUGAUUCAGCGGCUGUAAGCAGACACAGCACCGUGCGUGGUGGGAAUGCUGGUUUUGUCCCUGAGCAGCCCUCGCAGGCAGCUCUGAGCCCCUCUGGGACCAAGCUGUGUCACGUGUCCUCACUGUGUCAUGCUCCAGGGUGGGAUUGCUUACCUUACAUUAAAAAAAUCCCAACAAACCGUUUUGGGGUUUUUAAUUGCAUGACUAGCAGACACAUUUUAGUCCACCUACGCUACCCGACCAUGUCCCCAGGAGGGCUCACAGGUUCUGGAUCGAAGGAAUCAGUACUUCUCCCAAUGGCACGUCUGAACCCAGCUAGCCGGGUUUCUGUGCGGCAGAACCGCCAGAGGCUUCCACCUGCUAGGGGGACACGGAAUGGCACCCGAGUCAGGAGGGACCCGAGUCAGGGUGGCGAGGUAGAGCCCCGGGCAAGACGGAGAAAGAGGGAAGGGGGAGAGCCUGGGGAAAGGAGAGCCCCAGGACCGGGGCCUCAGACGGCCCCAUCAGCAUACCGUUUCAGAAACCGGUCAGCCAGGCAUGACGUGGCCAGGGCUCAGCCAGGGUAUCCAGGCACCCAAACGCAUUCCUGCCAGUGCUUUGGCUAAAAGACAUGAGGCCGUGAAUAAUCCCUGGAGACGGAGGAGCUUCGUUGUGGAGAAUCUGGCUGAAUUUACGGAGCUCUGGAAGAAAAGAGCGUACAGACUCCGCCGUGGAAACAGCAGUGUCCGCCAGGCAAGGUGGCAGUCAACGGGCCAAGCUGCUCUGUGGCCGGAGGAGAGAAAGAGGGAACCAGAGAAGAUGGUCCAUCGAGCUUGCGGUGGAUGGAGAGAGGAUAAUUCCCAGGCGACGAAGGGAACCCCACUCUGCACUCUUGCACGCGUAGGGUCCGCACUAGAAGCCAGGAGCACAUGCUUCAGUUUGGGUGCUGGGACUGAGUCCUCGGGUCGCCUGGGAGGCUGCAGGAUGUCCCUGAGGGGUAAGUGUCAGUGCUGGACCCACUGGGGGAAGGAGGCUCCAGAGACGUCAGCCUCUCCACGCACCAGUUACAACACAAUGACACCUGACAGAGACAUUCCAUCUUGGGAAAUAGAGGAGGGCUCACAGAGACUUUACAAUGAAGUGGAAAUAUGGAAUCUUCUAGAAAU